RNAcentral lists this ribosomal RNA (426 nucleotides) under uncultured bacterium. Its description in RNAcentral is "bacterial SSU rRNA". It matches the Rfam family "Bacterial small subunit ribosomal RNA", at positions 356 to 773 of the family's 1533-position model. The record is from RNAcentral.
GAGGAAUAUUGCGCAAUGGGGGCAACCCUGACGCAGCGACGCCGCGUGGAUGAUGAAGGCCUUUGGGUCGUAAAAUCCUGUCAGAUGGAAAGAAACGUAAGGUGGCUAAUAUCUGCCUUAUUUGACGGUACCAUCAAAGGAAGCACCGGCUAACUCCGUGCCAGCAGCCGCGGUAAUACGGAGGGUGCAAGCGUUGUUCGGAAUUACUGGGCGUAAAGCGCGCGUAGGCGGUUUGCUCAGUCAGAUGUGAAAGCCCUCGGCUUAACCGGGGACGUGCAUUUGAUACUGGCAGACUUGAGUACUGGAGGGGGUGGUGGAAUUCCCGGUGUAGAGGUGAAAUUCGUAGAUAUCGGGAGGAAUACCGGUGGCGAAGGCGACCACCUGGCCAGAUACUGACGCUGAGGUGCGAAAGCGUGGGGAGCAAAC